CAGGCAUGUCUUGGCCUUAUCUGCAAAAAGCAGCUUCGGCCCUUACAGUCCAGAUGUACAAGAACUCAAGCAGUCCGCAGCCAGAUCUUCGCCCAAUCUCAAAAGAACUGGGGUGAGAAGCUUGCAAUAGGGAUUGCACGCCAGGCCCUCCAAGUUGGAGUGCCACAUCAACAAGGUUACCAAAUGAUCUUCAGAACAUUUACGCAAUUGUGCAUAUUUUUGUGGCGAUCUAAUACGCAAACAACCAUGACACGAUAAGGCUGCGUACUUUACACAUCGAUUCCUCACCUGCUGAGUUCCUACUGUUCACUGAAGAAGCAUCACAAAGCCAUCUUCAGAAUGACCACAUCUUCAGAUGUUGGCAGCUCGCUUUCUCAGACUGGCCUCAAUUGCAGUCGUUGAAGCUGAUCUAUUUAUUCACAAACAGUGUCGGACCGCGGCAAGGGAGAGUGCAAGCCGAUGCAACUGAAAGAAGAUGUACCCCUUGAAUUGUGCUUCAGGGGUUCAGAUUCCGCUCAUCAAAGUAAUGCAAUCGAAUGCUGGGAAUUACAGGUGAUAUGCGCGUCACUUGCGAGGUGGAAUUCUCGAUUGGAUUU
Molecule: long non-coding RNA, 596 nt
Filed under: Coccomyxa subellipsoidea
Lineage: Eukaryota; Viridiplantae; Chlorophyta; Trebouxiophyceae; Coccomyxaceae
Description: long non-coding RNA (CSUB_LNC000576)
Source: RNAcentral